CCUACGGGAGGCAGCAGUGAGGAAUAUUGGUCAAUGGGCGCGAGCCUGAACCAGCCAAGCAGCGUGAAGGAUGAAUGUCCUACGCGUUGUAAACUUCUUUUAUCAAGGAAUAAAGUGAGGCACGAGUGCCUUUUUGUGGGUACUUUAAGAAUAAGGAUCGGCUAACUCCGUGCCAGCAGCCGCGGUAAUACGGAGGAUACGAGCGUUAUCCGGAUUUAUUGGGUUUAAAGGGUGCGUAGAUGGGCUGUUAAGUCAGUGGUAAAAUCCAGGGGCUCAACCCCUGCCCGCCAUUGAAACUGGCUGUCUUGAGUGGAAGAGAGGUAUGCGGAAUGCGUGGUGUAGCGGUGAAAUGCAUAGAUAUCGCGCAGAACCCCGAUUGCGAAGGCAGCAUGCCGGCUUCCUACUGACGCUGAGGCACGAAAGCGUGGGGAUCGAACAGGAUUAGAUACCCGUGUAGUC
RNAcentral lists this ribosomal RNA (459 nucleotides) under uncultured bacterium. Its description in RNAcentral is "partial 16S ribosomal RNA". It matches the Rfam family "Bacterial small subunit ribosomal RNA", at positions 338 to 795 of the family's 1533-position model. The record is from RNAcentral.